AAAAUUCCGUCUCAAAAAAGAAAAAGAAACAACAAGCAAACAAACAAACAAACAGCACUGCUGGUGGCUGGCACCUGUAAUCCCAGCACUUUGGGAGGCUGAGAUGGGAGGACUGUUUGAGCCCAACAGUUGGAGACCAGCCUGGGCAACAUAGUUGCAACAUAGCCGUCCCCUACCCCCCAUUAAAUUAGAAAAAAAAAGUAUUUAAAAAAAGCCCAAACUCUACUGAUGAAUAGUAUAACAGAGUUGCUACAUUUUCCAUAGUGUUGUGUAGAUGAAGUAUACUGUGCAACUGGACUGGGGCAACACUGUAAGAAGAGAGGAUUUUGCUGGUGUCACUUUCACUAUUUGUGUUUUGAAACAAAGUUGUCUUCAGCCUCUUAAGGAAUUGGUAUAUAUUUAUGGGUGGACUUUCCAGCAGGUGGCACUUUAACAAUUGUAACAACCUAAAGACCGUUUGCAUAAACAAUAGUGUUGACAUUUUAUAGUGCUUCCAUAACGUCCUGUAAAUCAAAGUGUUUUGUUUUAAAAAGGGUAUUAUAAAGAUUGUCCUCAUCAGGGGCUACCUUUGGUUAACAGAUGAAUAAUUGUUGGAAGCUAAACAAUGGGUACACGUGGACAUACAGAGUGUAAUAAUAGAUACUGGAGACUCCAAAAAGUGGCAGGGUGGGAGGGAGGUGAGGGUUGAAAAAUUACCUGUUGUGUACAGUGUUCAUUAUUUGGGUGAUGGGUACACUAAAAGCCCAGAUUUCACCACUACCCAAUAUACACGUGUAAGAAACCUGCACUUAUACACACAUAUAUAUGUCAUAAAUAUAUAUAAUAUAUAUAAAAUAUAUAUUAUAUAUAUUAUUUUUUCUUGUUUUUUCCCUUUUUUUUUUAAGCCUCUGUGGCACUGGUAUGUCAGGCCAGGUUUCCAUUAUCAACCAGAACAGUCAGGUUCACUAACCCUUUUCUGAUGAAUGUGUAAGUUAAACAUAAAAAAACUGAAGAAAUUGGUGCCUGAGGGUGAGCGCUGGAAUGCAAAAACAAACCCAUUAAGACCUGGCCUGGGUUUUCUCCGGCCCUAAAGUCUGAUCAAAUAAUAAAGGCAUUCUUACACAUACACCUCGUGCCAGAGCUCAUUCAAGAUGAAGAAACUUUCCAAGACUCUAGAGAAAGCUUUCCAGACCCUAGACCCUAGAUAAAGAUUAGAUAUAGAUUGAAUGAAACACUGCCACUUUUAGGUGCACUACCACACAUGGGCAAAUAACUUAGAAUAUGUAUAAGCACUGAAAAAAAAAAACCUUGUAAAUUUGAGUUGGUCGGGUGAGUUACUCUGACCUGCCUGAAACCGGUUGCAGAAAUAAACUCCCUUCUUUCUCAGUCUGUCUGCAUCUCAUUAUUGAACUAUGAGAACAAGCAGCUGGACCCCUCGUUCUGUCUGGGUACACUGGCAGAGGAACAGACACAUAGAUCAAUUGGACCUAGGAAAAAACUCACACAAAUAUGCUGAAAUUAAUUUUUGACAAAAGUGCAAAAGCAGUUCAAUGGAGGAAAGAUAGUCUUUUCAACAAGUGGUUCUGGAGCAACUGGACAUCUACUGGGAAAAAAAAUAAACAUUGACUAUGUCGGUUAGAAAAAAACGGUUGAAGAACUGGGGUCCCGGCCAGCAAUCUUAAUUUAAAAUGUGAACACUUUUGGAGAAGGAAAUGAAAGAAUUCGUACCAAUUUUAAGAGGCCAUUUGAACAAUUAUUAGCUCCAACUGACCAUAAACAAGCAUUCAGAUGGUUCCAUAUAUGCCUCACUCAAUCAGCUAUUACAUUCACUGCCUGCCCAUUGGGGAGGCCACAGUCUGUACACAAUGUGUGAUGUAGAGAACUUGUAGUGCUAGUAGCUGGGGUUUCCAUGCUGUCUUUUUCCAUUUAUGCUGCUAUAACAGAACACCCAGAAAGUUCAUUCCUUCUUACACCAUGAGAGGACACAGUGUAUCUACAAGCCAGGAAGAGUGACUUCACCAGACAUGGAUUCUGUUGGCAGCUUGAUCUUGGACUUCCCAGCCUCCAGGACUGUGAGAAAUAAAUUUCUGUUGUUCAUGAGCCAGCUAAUCUAUAGUAUUUUUGUUAUGGCAGUGUGAAUGGACCAAGACAUGCCUUAUUCUGCUUUGCAGUGUAUCAAAAUCUCAAUGGAAUGGGAAAGGUCAGAAACAAACACUUUUUACAUAUUCAACAUAGAACCAAACAUAAAGCCUUAAAAAUAACAGGAACUCAGUAAUAUUGCAUUUGUAUUUGUUGAUUAACUAUGCUUUUUCCUAUGUUCUAUCAGAUCCUAAACUUGUGAAUCACUACUUUUUGUUUGGGUAAGUAGUAAUAAUCCUACCAUGUAACAAAGCAAAAAGUGAUUUAAUAUUCAAGACAUUGCCCAAAUAUGAUAUCUCUAAAUUGCAUAUUAAUCUUUUCCAGGAAGUCUUUCUUGGCAUAACGUAAAUGGGACAGAACAAAGAAUUUUAGAAGAUGCUUGAUGAGGAAGUGCUACUCCUAUUUAGAAAAAGGAAAGCUUAAUUCAAUAGGUUAUAUUUUCUAUGGUUGGAACACAUGCUAUUGACAAAUGACAAAGUAAAUAGAAGGGGAGUGAGAGGAACAUAUGAUUAUUCCGGUGUUAACAUGAAUGUUUGUGAAAAUGACUAUAUUUGGGAGCCAGAAUCUGCAUAUCUGAGUAGAUGAUUCACACUCUUACAGACUCUGCAGACGACUGCUUAGGAUUGAAGAAACAGGUUCUAUCAUUAAAAAGCUGGAUGAUCUAGGGUGAUGCUUUUUCACUUCCCUUUCAUAACUCUCAUUGAUCUAACAAUAGUAUGUGCCUGGCAAUGGACUGUUUUUUAAAAACAUACAUUGUCUUAUAUAAACUUCACAUCUUAAGGAGGCAUAUACUAUUUAUAUCUCCAUUUAACCAAUGAGGAAAUGAAGGCUUGUACCAGGCAGGAUAGAAUUAGGUUAUGCUACUAUAACAAACAACACCAAAUAUCUUAUUGGCUUAAAACAAGAUUUAAUUUUUGGCUGGCUGGGCAUGGUGGCUCAUACCUGUAAUCCCAGCACUUUGGGAGGCCAAGGUGGGAGGACUGCUUGUGCCCAGGAGUACAAGACCAGCCUGGGCAACAUAGUGAGAUACAAAAAAUAAAAAAUUAGCUGGGCAUGGUGGCACACAUCUAUAGUUCCAGCUACUUGAGAAGUUUAGGUGGGAGGAUUGUUUGAGCCUAGAAGGUUGUGGCUACAGUGGGCCCUAAUUACACCACUGCACUCCAGCCUGAGUGACAGACCAAGACCCUGUCAAAAAAAAUUAUUUUUUGGCCAUACUACAGUUCCACUGUGGGCUCCAGAUUUUGGUCACUUCCCUGACACAGGCCUGCUACCCAGGGAACUAUUAGAAAUGCCGGCCAGAUAAGUGAUCUCUUGAGCCCAGGAGUUUGAGACCAGCCUGGGCAACAUGGUGAGACCCUGUCUCUACAAAAAAAUACAAAAUUAGCUAGGUGUGGUGGUGCUUACCUGUAGUUCCAACUACUCAGGAGGCUGAGGUGGGAAGAAUCCCUUAAGCCUGGGAGGCCGAGGCUGCACUGAGCUGUGAUCAUGCCGCUGCACUCCAGCCUAGUGACAGAGCAAGAACUUGCCUCCCACCCCUGCGCCACACAAAAAGAGAGAAUGAAUAAAAACCUGCUGAAGCUUAGCUACACAUGUUCCAGUACCUAAUACUUAGCAUUUUUUCUCUGUUGCCCAGGCUGGUGUGUAGUGAUGUGAUUACAGUUCUCUGCAGCCUUGACCUCCUGGACUCAAGUGAUCCUCCCACCUCAGCCUCCUGAGUAGCUAGGGUCACAGAUGUGCAUCAUCACACCUGACUAAAUUUUUUUUUUUUUUGAGACGAAGUUUCGCUCCCGUUGCCCAGGCUGGAGUGCAAUGGCGUGAUCUCAGCCCACCACAACCUCCACCUCCUGGGUUCAAGUGAUUCUCCUGCCUCAGCCUCCCAAGUAGCUGGGAUUACAGGCAUGCACCACUACGCCUGGCUAAUUUUAUUUUUAGUAGAAAUGGGGUUUCUUCAUGUUGGCCAGGCUGGUCUUGAACUUCUGACCUCAGGUGAUCCACCUGCCUCGGCCUCCCAAAGUGCUGAGAUUACAGGUGUGAGCCACCGCACCCGGCCAGAUUUUUUUUUUAUAGAGAUAACAGUAUCACUGUGUUGCCCAGGCAGGUCUUGGACUCCUGGGCUCAAGUGAUCCUCCUGCCUCAGCCUCCCACAUUGCUGGGACAAAAGGCAUGAACCAUCAUGCCUGGUUAUACUUAGCAUUUUAAUUUAUAUGCAGUCAUCCCUUAAAGCAUCAGCUGGACUUAGGCACUUAAAAGGACUGAUUUAAGUGUCUACUGCCCAGAACGAUUGACUUUUUUUCCUGCCCAGGAGUUUGCAUCUUUUUUUUUUUCUGAGACAGACUCUUGCUCUGUCUGCCUGGCUGGAGUGCAGUGGCGUGAUCUCGAUUCACUGCAACCUCCGCCUCCCAGGUUCAAGCAAUUCUCCUGCCUCAGCCUCCCGAGUAGCUGGGAUUAUAGGCGCCCGCCACAGCACCCGGAUAAUUUUUUUUUAUUUUUAAUGGAGAUGGGGUUUCACCAUGUUGGCCAGGCUGGUCUUGAACUCUUGAUCUCAAGUGAUCCGCCCGCCUCAGCCUCCCAAAGUGCUGUGAUGACAGGCGUGAGCCACCGCACCUGGCCAGGUGUUUGCAUCUUUAGGGGUCAAAUAAUUUUAAAAUGUUCAAUCCUCAAAACACAGAAUAUCCUCUCUUCCUCUACCAAAGCAAGACCAUCAACCCUCCUAAGGGAUGCAACUUUUUUUUUUUUUUUUUUUUUUGAGACCGAGUUUCGCUCUUUCACUCAGGCUGGAGUGAAGUGGGCAAUCUCGGCUCACUGCAACCUCCACCUCCUGGGUUCAAGCGAUUCUCCUGCCUCAGACUCCCAAGUAGCUUGGAUUACAGGUGCGUGCCACCAUGUCCGGCUAAUUUUUUGUAUUUUCAGUAGAGAUGGGGUUUUACUAUGUUGACCAGGCUGGUCUCAAACUCCUGACCUCAGGUGAUCCGCCCGCAUUGCCCUCCCAAGUGCUGGGAUUACAGGCACGAGCUACUGUGCCCAGCCAGGAUGCAACUCUUAAUACUGAUCUUUUUAGAGGAGAUGCCCCCAAGAGAUUCUAAUAUAUUCAUAUAAAAUUCUGGAGCAAUGACUGUUUUUAAUGAAUCUAAGCUAUCCUAUUCCCUUUUGAAAAGAUGAUGUGCUCAAUACAUCUAUGGCAGUUUUCUAGUACCUUCCUUGCUGAAAAAGAGAAAAAACAACCCAUAAAUUUAUCUGGGUCAUUUCACUACAUUAUUAGGAUGAUUCACACUUAAGAAUAAACUAUCAGGUUUGAAAAAUCUAAUAAA
Molecule: long non-coding RNA, 5426 nt
Filed under: Homo sapiens (human)
Lineage: Eukaryota; Metazoa; Chordata; Mammalia; Primates; Hominidae
Description: HSALNT0180783
Source: RNAcentral